Molecule: unclassified non-coding RNA, 353 nt
Filed under: Hevea brasiliensis (rubber tree)
Lineage: Eukaryota; Viridiplantae; Streptophyta; Magnoliopsida; Malpighiales; Euphorbiaceae
Source: RNAcentral
GGAGAAAAAAGUGACAUGCAUGCAACAAUGACAAUUUAAAACUUUCUAUUUGACAAAUUAAAAUUGUCCAUUUGGCUCCAAUCUCACUUAGCUUAAUUAACUCAUAAUAUCUUAGUUAAAAAUUGGAUAGAUAUAUGAAUGGGUUAAGUGAUGUUUGUUAAGUGAUAUUUACUAUGUAUUUUGUGAAAAGUUGAACUGUUGAAGGAUAAUAUAAAGUAUAAACCAUAAACAUGAAUAUAAUUUGUAAAAGAGGGGAAAAGGUAAUAUAUUUGCAAAUAUAUGCUUACAUUAAUUUAUAUUUGCAAAGUGACAGUUAAUUACUUUAUUAUCUACAUUUUAAUUGUAUUUAUUAU